RNAcentral lists this ribosomal RNA (486 nucleotides) under uncultured bacterium. RNAcentral describes it as "bacterial SSU rRNA". It matches the Rfam family "Bacterial small subunit ribosomal RNA", at positions 28 to 512 of the family's 1533-position model. The record is from RNAcentral.
GACGAACGCUGGCGGCGUGCCUAACACAUGCAAGUCGAACGAAGCAUUUAAGUGAAUCCCUUCGGGGUGAAGCUUUUAUGACUUAGUGGCGGACGGGUGAGUAACGCGUGAGUAACCUGCCUUUCAGAGGGGGAUAACAGUUGGAAACGACUGCUAAUACCGCAUAACGUGACGAGAUCGCAUGGUCUUGUUACCAAAGCUGAGGCGCUGAAAGAUGGACUCGCGUCUGAUUAGAUAGUUGGUGAGGUAACGGCUCACCAAGUCGACGAUCAGUAGCCGGACUGAGAGGUUGGACGGCCACAUUGGGACUGAGACACGGCCCAGACUCCUACGGGAGGCAGCAGUGGGGAAUAUUGCACAAUGGGCGCAAGCCUGAUGCAGCGAUGCCGCGUGAGGGAAGAAGGUUUUAGGAUUGUAAACCUCUGUCUUCAGUGACGAAUCAAUGACGGUAACUGAGGAGGAAGCCACGGCUAACUACGUGCCAGC